Molecule: ribosomal RNA, 453 nt
Filed under: Xanthoparmelia pseudoglabrans
Lineage: Eukaryota; Fungi; Ascomycota; Lecanoromycetes; Lecanorales; Parmeliaceae
Description: SSU rRNA
Rfam family: Bacterial small subunit ribosomal RNA
Source: RNAcentral
UUAAAGUACUGCUGGUGUAGAGAUGAAAUUCUGUCAUACCUCUUUUCAAAAGAAAAACCAUGGCACAGGUAUAGGCGAAGGCAUCCCCUUAUGUGAUAACUGACGUUGAGGGACGAAGGCUUUGUGUAGCGAACAGGAUUAGAUACCCCCGUAGUCGAAGCAGAAAAUGAUGAAUGUCAUAGAUUAGAUGUAUAAGUUUAUUCUAUAAAUUAAAGUGUAAGCAUUCCCCCUCCUGAGUAAUUUGGCAACAUUGGAACUGAAAUCAUUAGACCGUUUCUGAAACCAGUAGUGAAGUAUGUUGUUUAAUUUGAUGAUCCGCAAAAAACCUUACCCCAAUUUGAAAAUUUAUAUUUUUUAUUGUUUUCUUCUCUUUUUUCUUAAGAAAAUUAAGAAAGAGGCAAUAAGAUAUAUUUACAAGCGUUGCACGGCUGUCUUCAGUUAAUGUCGCGAGAC